GCGCCCAUAGCUCAGCUGGAUAGAGUACCUGGCUUCGAACCAGGUGGUCGGGGGUUCGAGUCCCUCUGGGCGCGCCA
This 77-nucleotide transfer RNA is filed under the name Gammaproteobacteria bacterium. RNAcentral's name for it is "tRNA-Arg". It matches the Rfam family "tRNA". Rfam says of the family: Transfer RNA (tRNA) molecules are approximately 80 nucleotides in length. Their secondary structure includes four short double-helical elements and three loops (D, anti-codon, and T loops). RNAcentral also lists the same sequence under 1 other name. Lineage: Bacteria; Pseudomonadati; Pseudomonadota; Gammaproteobacteria. The record is from RNAcentral.